AACGAACGCUGGCGGCAUGCCUAACACAUGCAAGUCGAACGAGACCAUCGUGUAUGGUGGCGCACGGGGGCGUAACGCGGGGGAACGGGCCCGUAGGUUCGGAAUAAUUCCCCGAAAGGGGUGCUAAUACCGGAUAAUGUCGUCUAACAAAAGAUUUAUCUUGCUGGGGUGGGCCCGCGUUGGAUGGACUUGUUGGGAGGGUAAAAGCCUACCAAGGCGAAGAUCCAUAGCUGGGCUGAGAGGAUGAUCCGCCACACUGGGAGUGGGACACGGCCCGGACUCUUGCGGGAGGGAGCAGUGGGGAAUCUAGGACAAUGGGCGAAAGCAUGAUGCAGCAAGGCUGCGUGAGUGAUGAAGGCGUUAGGGUUGUAAAGCUCUUUUAACCGGGAUGAUAAUGACAGUACCGGGAGAAUAAGCUCCGGCUAACUCCGUG
Molecule: ribosomal RNA, 433 nt
Filed under: uncultured bacterium
Lineage: Bacteria
Description: partial 16S ribosomal RNA
Rfam family: Bacterial small subunit ribosomal RNA
Source: RNAcentral